This is a non-coding RNA of Arachis ipaensis, 1000 nucleotides long. The record is from RefSeq and is a predicted model, not a curated record. Lineage: Eukaryota; Viridiplantae; Streptophyta; Magnoliopsida; Fabales; Fabaceae.
UAAAUAGGUAAAUUCUACUCUACCCUUCCUAUAAUAACAUGUAUAUUACCCUCUGUGACAUGUCAUCUUUUAAUUGGUUGCUAUGUUAACUAUGCUUAAACUAUUGGUAAUUAAAUUAUAGCCUAAAGUGGGUAAUUAUAUAAUUUACUAAAAUAUUAAAAAUUCAGUCUUUGAUUCUUCCCCAAAUCAUGCUCCCACACAAUGAACCCUAAUCUUCUGUAUUUUCUCCCCCGCUCCAGCACCAUCGUCACCACCCGAGCAUAACCGCCUCAUUGGGUGCCCCAUUCUCUCCGUCUGUCGUGCCAUCUCCAUGCUGGAAAGCAUCGCCACCGCCGUCGUCACAAGCAGCGCCGCCUUCCUCACGGUAUCCUUUCCUCUCAUGAAAUUGCGUUGCAGAAUCCCUUAUCCACUUUGAAAUAACCACCAAGUGUGAUGAACAUGAAUCAAAUGGCUUCUUUAACUUAUUCAUCAUCUUCAUCCUUCUCAACAAAGCUUCCUCUUCAUUCCUCAACACCUCUAAAAAGAACAAGAAGAAGAAGCAACCACGAUUUUCUAAGAAUGGUGACUCGUUCCUGUCUCGAUGACAGUUCAGCACUUCUCUGAGCAGCUCAAUACAUUGUAGACACAUAUGUGAAAAGUGAAAUGGUUGUAGGAUUGGGGUUUGGUCAUGCUUCUUGUAUGGCAAUUCAGCAUUUGGGUCGCCAGCUUCGCACCGGUAAUUUGAAGAACAUAGUAGGGAUUCCCAUAUUGAUUUUGCUUUUGAUGAUGCUGAUGCUAUAAAAGAAGGGACACUUGUUGCUAUCAUUGGGCGCCGUCGUCACAAGCAGCACCGCCUUUCUCACGGACUUGGAAGUUGUCCACCAGCAAGUACGAGAUUCUGGAUAUGGAGAUUUAUUGCCAAUAAAUCUUUAUCUAUUGCUGCUUCAAGUAUCCUUCCUCGUUGGAAUUACUUUCAUUUUCUCAGAUUCUUAGGUCCCCCCCCCCCAAAAAAAACACCAAA